RNAcentral lists this ribosomal RNA (490 nucleotides) under uncultured bacterium. RNAcentral's name for it is "partial 16S ribosomal RNA". It matches the Rfam family "Bacterial small subunit ribosomal RNA", at positions 28 to 507 of the family's 1533-position model. The record is from RNAcentral.
GAUGAACGCUAGCGAUAGGCUUAACACAUGCAAGUCGAGGGGCAGCAUGGUCUUAGCUUGCUAAGGCUGAUGGCGACCGGCGCACGGGUGCGUAACGCGUAUGCAACUUGCCUCACAGAGGGGGAUAACCCGUCGAAAGACGGACUAAUACCGCGUACACUCUAUGUUGGGCAUCCAAUGUAGAGGAAAUGAAAUUCGCUGUGAGAUAGGCAUGCGUCCCAUUAGCUAGUUGGUGAGGUAACGGCUCACCAAGGCGACGAUGGGUAGGGGAACUGAGAGGUUGAACCCACACACUGGUACUGAGACACGGACCAGACUCCUACGGGAGGCAGCAGUGAGGAAUAUUGGUCAAUGGGCGAGAGCCUGAACCAGCCAAGUCGCGUGAAGGAUGACUGUCUUAUGGAUUGUAAACUUCUUUUAUACGGGAAUAACAAGAGUCACGUGUGGCUCCCUGCAUGUACCGUAUGAAUAAGCAUCGGCUAACUCCGUG